RNAcentral lists this ribosomal RNA (497 nucleotides) under uncultured bacterium. RNAcentral describes it as "partial 16S ribosomal RNA". It matches the Rfam family "Bacterial small subunit ribosomal RNA", at positions 28 to 507 of the family's 1533-position model. The record is from RNAcentral.
GAUGAACGCUGGCGGCGUGCCUAAUACAUGCAAGUCGAGCGAACGGACGAGAAGCUUGCUUCUCUGAUGUUAGCGGCGGACGGGUGAGUAACACGUGGAUAACCUACCUAUAAGACUGGGAUAACUUCGGGAAACCGGAGCUAAUACCGGAUAAUAUUUUGAACCGCAUGGUUCAAAAGUGAAAGACGGUCUUGCUGUCACUUAUAGAUGGAUCCGCGCUGCAUUAGCUAGUUGGUAAGGUAACGGCUUACCAAGGCAACGAUGCAUAGCCGACCUGAGAGGGUGAUCGGCCACACUGGAACUGAGACACGGUCCAGACUCCUACGGGAGGCAGCAGUAGGGAAUCUUCCGCAAUGGGAGAAAGCCUGACGGAGCAACGCCGCGUGAGUGAUGAAGGCCUUCGGAUCGUAAAACUCUGUUAUUAGGGAAGAACAUAUGUGUAAGUAACUGUGCACAUCUUGACGGUACCUAAUCAGAAAGCCACGGCUAACUACGUG